CUUGAAAUCUAUUUUGUCUAACUGUAGCCAAUCCUGCUCUUUUUUGGUUUCCAUUUGCAUGAAACAUCUUUUUUUGUACCUUUUUUUCUGUUAUUAUCCAUUUGAAUCAAAUUUCUACCUGUAGCUCUCUCUCUCUAUCUCCUCUUUAAGGCCAAUAACUCAGAUUUGCCCUUUUGAGGCUAUUUUCCAGAUCACGUAGGCAUCCUUUGUUCUUUUUUAAUUCUUUCUGAUUUUUUUAUCCUAUGACUGAAUAUUUUCAAAUAGUCUGUCUUCAAGCUCACUAAUUCUUUCUUCUGCUUGAUCAAUUCUGCUGUUAAGAAAGUCUGAUGCAUUCUUUAGUAUGUCAAUUGCAUUUUUCAACUCAAGAAUUUCUGCUUGAUUCUAGUUAAUUAUUUCAAUAUAUUUGUUAAAUUUAUCUAAUAGAUUUCUGAAUUCCUCUCUGGGUUAUCUUGAAUUAAGUUGUGUUUCCUCAAGACAUCUUGCAAAAGCAAAAAAUAAACCUAACAUCUGAAUAAUUUCAAUAAGUGCUAAGUCUGUGUAAAACAAUGCACAUAAUAAUGACUUUAUGCCUUCUACGAUUGUAUGCUGACUGAUAAAUAAUACUGACAGCUAAUAUACAUUUAAUUAUCUACAACUUAUUGAACUUAUGACUGUACUGGCAGGCAAGAUAUGAAUGCACGAAAAUAUAAAAAUAAUCAAGUUUUAAAUACCUAUUUGAGAUUUUCUUUUCAAUAGAUUUUACUCUACUAAUAUUUAUGGAAUACUUACUACACAUCAGAACUUGUGUUAGGUAUCAGUAUACAAGAAAUAAUACAAUGAGGUUAUUUCUUUCAAGAACUCCACCAUCUAGAGGGGGAGGAAAACUUUCAAACACACAGUUCCAAAACAUCAUCAGCAGUACAGAGAAAGGUGUAUGGUGCUAUGGAAUUCAGAUAAGGAAAGCCUUAAUUCUGCUGACAGUGGGUCUGAAGGUUUAUCAAGGAAGGCUUCCCAAAAGAGGCGAGACUCACAUUAGGUCUUGAAGAAUGAGAGUUUUCCAGGCCAAAAAGAAAAUGCAUGGCACAUAGUAGGUCCUUAGUCAGUUGUAUACAUGAUAAUAAGAGCAUCUACGUGUACAAAAUUUAGUAGAAAGUCAACAUCCAGCAGUUUAAUAGCAUUAUUCAUAAUCCCAAAACAAGUGAUUCCAAGGACCCCCAACAAUUUGCCUAUGCCCAUUACCAUUUUUAUGGUGAUGACUCCAGAUUUACACCUCCAACAGCAUUCCAAGUAUCUUAUCCAUCUCAAUGGAUAAGACAUGGGACCAGUUAUGUCCCAUGGAAUAACUCAGAGAUAUUGUAAACAUUAUCUGUUCAAAAG
This 1356-nucleotide long non-coding RNA is filed under the name Pan troglodytes (chimpanzee). RNAcentral's name for it is "long non-coding RNA NONPTRT012451". The record is from RNAcentral. Lineage: Eukaryota; Metazoa; Chordata; Mammalia; Primates; Hominidae.